Molecule: ribosomal RNA, 408 nt
Filed under: Triticum aestivum (bread wheat)
Lineage: Eukaryota; Viridiplantae; Streptophyta; Magnoliopsida; Poales; Poaceae
Description: partial small subunit ribosomal RNA
Source: RNAcentral
GAGUGGAUGUUGAAGCAUGAGAUGGACCUCAAGCCGUUGCUAGAAAAUUUUCCUUGGGAGCACGGUUAUGGCUCUUGGUUCGUACAGGGUGCGAGGGAUAACAAUGAUGAAGCAGUAGACAAAGAGAAACCGGAAUGGGAUUCAGACAAUGAUGAUGCCACCACUGCUACUGAAGUUAGUGUUAAGGAAAACUUCCCUGGUUAUAUUUCUACGAUACUCGGAUUUCAUCCUUACAAGGAGAUUAUCUUUUUGCGACUGUCGCACACAAGAGUAAUGGCCUACCAUCUUAGUAGCUCCAAGGUUGAGGAUCUGGGAUGUUUACCCUUAGAUGGUGAUGAUUGGAUAAAGUCGUCUGUUGUAUACACGCCUUGCUGGAUGGAUAAUUGCUUGUUAGAAAGUACUAGUUUA